AGAUUGAACGCUAGCGGCAUGCCUAACACAUGCAAGUCGAACGGUAACAGGCCCUUCGGGGUGCUGACGAGUGGCGGACGGGUGAGUAAGGCAUCGGAAUCUGCCCUGAUGUGGGGGAUAACGUAGGGAAACUUACGCUAAUACCGCAUAUGCCCUACGGGGUAAAGCGGGGGAUCGUAAGACCUCGCGCUGGUGGAUGAGCCUACGUCCGAUUAGUUAGUUGGUGGGGUUAAAGGCCUACCAAGGCUACGAUCGGUAGCUGGUCUGAGAGGACGACCAGCCACACUGGGACUGAGACACGGCCCAGACUCCUACGGGAGGCAGC
Molecule: ribosomal RNA, 325 nt
Filed under: uncultured prokaryote
Description: bacterial SSU rRNA
Rfam family: Bacterial small subunit ribosomal RNA
Source: RNAcentral